UAGGUGUCAUCUUUAGAGCAAAGAUAAGUGGCAUCAACCUUAGGUUAGCUAGUGACACAUGUCCACUAUAUUUUUUUUUUCUUUUUUUUUUAACUUAAAUCUGAAUCUUUCAUAAAUUAUAUCAAACUUCUAAUAUUUACUCUUAGGUCCCUAGCCAUAAACUUUUAAUAUAUUAUCAUUGAAUAUAAAAUAAUUAUUAAAUAAUCUUUAUUUUUUA
RNAcentral lists this long non-coding RNA (217 nucleotides) under Musa acuminata (dwarf banana). RNAcentral describes it as "long non-coding RNA (MACU_LNC011631)". The record is from RNAcentral. Lineage: Eukaryota; Viridiplantae; Streptophyta; Magnoliopsida; Zingiberales; Musaceae.